GCCCGAAAGGGUGCGGUUGAAAGCCUGAAAAGAUAACCGCUUAAAGUGGCUGAUGCCUAUGUGUCGGGGCGUGGAACUCACCACGCGCUAAAAAAGAGGAA
This 101-nucleotide non-coding RNA is filed under the name unclassified sequences. The record is from RNAcentral.